AGCGAACGCUGGCGGCAGGCCUAACACAUGCAAGUCGAACGAACUCUUCGGAGUUAGUGGCGGACGGGUGAGGAACACGUGGGAACGUGCCUUUUGGUUCGGAAUAACUCAGGGAAACUUGUGCUAAUACCGAAUGUGCCCUUCGGGGGAAAGAUUUAUCGCCAUUAGAGCGGCCCGCGUCUGAUUAGCUAGUUGGUGAGGUAACGGCUGACCAAGGCGACGAUCAGUAGCUGGUCUGAGAGGAUGCCCAGCCACACUGGGACUGAGACCCGGCCCAGACGCCUACGGGAGGCAGCAGUGGGGAAUCUUGCGCACUGGGCGAAAGCCUGACGCAGCCAUGCCGCGUAAAUGAUGAAGGUCUUAGGAUUGUAAAAUUCUUUCACCGGGGACGAUAAUGACGGUACCCGGAGAAGAAGCCCCGGCUAACUUCGUG
Molecule: ribosomal RNA, 433 nt
Filed under: uncultured bacterium
Lineage: Bacteria
Description: partial 16S ribosomal RNA
Rfam family: Bacterial small subunit ribosomal RNA
Source: RNAcentral